RNAcentral lists this ribosomal RNA (465 nucleotides) under Vreelandella stevensii. RNAcentral describes it as "partial 16S ribosomal RNA". It matches the Rfam family "Bacterial small subunit ribosomal RNA", at positions 338 to 795 of the family's 1533-position model. The record is from RNAcentral. Lineage: Bacteria; Pseudomonadati; Pseudomonadota; Gammaproteobacteria; Oceanospirillales; Halomonadaceae.
CCUACGGGGGGCAGCAGUGGGGAAUAUUGGACAAUGGGGGCAACCCUGAUCCAGCCAUGCCGCGUGUGUGAAGAAGGCCCUCGGGUUGUAAAGCACUUUCAGUGAGGAAGAACGCCUGGUGGUUAAUACCCAUCAGGAAAGACAUCACUCACAGAAGAAGCACCGGCUAACUCCGUGCCAGCAGCCGCGGUAAUACGGAGGGUGCGAGCGUUAAUCGGAAUUACUGGGCGUAAAGCGCGCGUAGGUGGCUUGAUAAGCCGGUUGUGAAAGCCCCGGGCUCAACCUGGGAACGGCAUCCGGAACUGUCAAGCUAGAGUGCAGGAGAGGAAGGUAGAAUUCCCGGUGUAGCGGUGAAAUGCGUAGAGAUCGGGAGGAAUACCAGUGGCGAAGGCGGCCUUCUGGACUGACACUGACACUGAGGUGCGAAAGCGUGGGUAGCAAACAGGAUUAGAUACCAGAGUAGUC